CUGUUUCUUCAGUUUCCUAGAAGAGCCUGAAAAAGAUUGGAAGUAGGUCCUCUUAAAGGUUUGAAAGACCCGGGGGUCAGGCUGCAGCGCCAGAGCAUGGGCUCGCGCAUAACUGGGGCCGCCAGCCCCCCUCGCCGGCGGCCCUUUUAACCGCGAGCGACACGC
Sorex fumeus (smoky shrew) is the source of this 165-nucleotide small nucleolar RNA. Lineage: Eukaryota; Metazoa; Chordata; Mammalia; Eulipotyphla; Soricidae. The record is from RefSeq and is a predicted model, not a curated record.